RNAcentral lists this long non-coding RNA (452 nucleotides) under Lactuca sativa (garden lettuce). RNAcentral's name for it is "long non-coding RNA (LSAT_LNC009188)". Lineage: Eukaryota; Viridiplantae; Streptophyta; Magnoliopsida; Asterales; Asteraceae. The record is from RNAcentral.
AAUUUUAAGGCGAAUAUUCAAGGCAAAAUCAAGUUUACUCUUUACCUAAUCUCUUGUUUGAACUAUGUUUUUACCAAUUGAUUUCUAAUCAUGAGNGUUUUUACCAAUUGAUUUCGUUUUUGAGCUUGUUUCUGUUGUAAUCAUGAGCUAAAACUCAUACCUUCUGUUUAGGAUAGAUGAUUUUGUGAUUAUGGUUUGAUUUUAUGGUUAGGAUUAAUUUUAAUUGGUGAUAUUGUUUUGUUAAGCUUGUUAAAGAACCUCAUAUGUUAAUAACAACUAUUCUCUGUUAAUAAAUCAGUAAUUAAGUUGUAUGAACAUCUCUUAGUUAUAAAUUUCAUAUGAUUUAUGUGACCACAUAGUUAUAGGUCUAGGAAUAACGAAUGUGAAACUAGAAUUAACUAGAAGCUAGGUAAAUUAAUGUGUGAGCUUGUGUGAUACACCAUUAACAAGAG